UCAGAGUUCAAACGAAGAAUGAAAGAAAGGUGAUUCAUGAUAUUUUGUUUGUGCCAGAAUUGGGUUAGAAUCUACUGAGUCUUGGACAGCUUUUGGAGCAUGCAUAUUUACUUAUUUCUAAAGGUCAUGGAUGUUAUCUAUGACAAAACAAAUAAGAAAAUGACAAAGAUCAAGAUGGGCCAGCAAAGGAGCUUUCCAUUGACUUUUCAAUAUGCAAAGG
Molecule: long non-coding RNA, 220 nt
Filed under: Elaeis guineensis (African oil palm)
Lineage: Eukaryota; Viridiplantae; Streptophyta; Magnoliopsida; Arecales; Arecaceae
Description: long non-coding RNA (EGUI_LNC038155)
Source: RNAcentral